GGGCACUUAGCUCAGUUGGUUAGAGCGCAAACUUGACGUGUUUGAGGUCAGUGGUUCGACUCCACUAGUGCCCACCA
RNAcentral lists this transfer RNA (77 nucleotides) under Candidatus Doudnabacteria bacterium CG10_big_fil_rev_8_21_14_0_10_42_18. RNAcentral describes it as "tRNA-Val". It matches the Rfam family "tRNA". From Rfam's summary of the family: Transfer RNA (tRNA) molecules are approximately 80 nucleotides in length. Their secondary structure includes four short double-helical elements and three loops (D, anti-codon, and T loops). Further hydrogen bonds mediate the characteristic L-shaped molecular structure. tRNAs have two regions of fundamental functional importance: the anti-codon, which is responsible for specific mRNA codon recognition, and the 3' end, to which the tRNAs corresponding amino acid is attached (by aminoacyl-tRNA synthetases). tRNAs cope with the degeneracy of the genetic code in two manners: having more than one tRNA (with a specific anti-codon) for a particular amino acid; and 'wobble' base-pairing, i.e. permitting non-standard base-pairing at the 3rd anti-codon position. Lineage: Bacteria; Candidatus Doudnaibacteriota. The record is from RNAcentral.